Astatotilapia calliptera (eastern happy) is the source of this 1450-nucleotide long non-coding RNA. The record is from Ensembl. NCBI's taxonomy places the organism in Eukaryota, Metazoa, Chordata, Actinopteri, Cichliformes, Cichlidae.
GUGAAAGAGCAGAUUAUUUACGGAUGAGAAGUAAAAAAAAAAAAGACGCCAGGUGCUAAAAAAUAAACCUUAGACUCAAAUGUUAGAACAGGGUUUUCCCCGCAGCACGCUGUGUAAUAAAUACUCACAAAGAAAACGGCGGCCGUUACAACUUAUGUCUAGAAAUGUAUAGUUUCAUGCAUCUGUUAAAACACUCGACUUCAGCUACAUGACGCGCAGCUGGAAACAAUUUCCGCAAGUCGAGCUGCCCGAGAUUCACAGAAUUUACAGAAAAUGUUACAUUUUUGUGAUUUAUAUCGUUAUCGGACGAUAGAAUUCUUAUAUCGGAAUAUGAGAUUUUGGUCAUAUCGCACAGCCCUAAGUGGCAUUGCAUUGCGUUAGAAAAAAAUAAAUACCCCAGUACUGCUGUAAAGUAGUCCUAUUUACUAUUUACCUUGGCAGAUAAGAUAAGAUAAACCUUUUAGUCCCACAAGUGGGAAAUUUGUGGUCACAAGUUAAGUGCAGUAAAGAUUAAGAAAUAAAACAAUUGAAUAGAAUAAGAUAAAAAAAAGAACAUACUAUACAAAAUAGAACAAAAUACUAUAUAAAUAAAAAAAAUACUGUACAAAAUAGAAUAAAAUACUUUGUUAUAUUGGGAAGAUUGCACUUGGUACUAUUGCACAUAGGAAGACAGAGCGAAAAGUUACCUGUGUGUAUGGGAUAUGUGUGUCUGCACGUGCGUGGUCACCCACAGAGACCAUGUUGUAGAUUUACUGUUAAGGUUAGUGUUAUGGCAGGCAGGAUGUUACCCAAAUGCAGGACUCAACACACACGGGGAUAACUCAAAGAGGCAGCUUUAUUUGACAAGGCAUGGAGACAUGAGGGAAAAACAGAGUCCACAACAUUGAAAAAACAGUUCUGGGGAUCGCCUGCGACGAGACAGUUCAGGAGGCCGACUGCGUUGAAGGCGGCAGCUCCAAAGCAGGUCCGGAGGCCGACUGUGUGGGAAGCAGCGGUGGUGCAGAAGGGACCCUCCAGGACCCCAACAGGGAAGAAAAUGGGAGUGGAAAUCUUCAGGUGACCUGGAAGGGGGCUGGUGUUGGUGUGGUUAGGUGGUUGGAUGUGGACAUGCAGGCAGUGCAGGAUGUAGAUGGGCAGGCGUGUUGACCUCUGGCAGAGAUAGAGCUGAACCUGGUGGCGGAGCAGAAGCCGAAGGCAGCUGAGCAGGUGGCAGUGUGGCAGCCGCAGGCAGUUGAGCGGACUCUCCAGAGCCCCCAGCAGAAACAGGCGGGGGUGUGGAAGCCACAGAUGGCUGGAUUGACUCUCCAGAGCCCCCAGCAGAGACAGGUACAGAACCAGACAGUGUGGAAACCUCUGGCCAAGCAGAACCAGGACCAGACGGUGUGGAAACAUCUGGCUGAGGUGGAGCUGGCUGGAGCUGCAUAGGGCAUGCAGCCGUCUCAGAAUGCAG